AAGUCGUAACAAGGUUUCCGUAGGUGAACCUGCGGAAGGAUCAAUGCAGAAAUAUAUUAUUUAUAUGUUCGAGUCCCGGAGGGACGAGUGGAUGUUGGAGCGUCUAUGGUUUGAAGAGUGGAUGUUGAUAGCAUCUAUGAUUCGCUGAGUGAUGUUGAAGCGUCUAUGAUUCCCGAUCCGGAACAACUCAACACUUGCGCUUGAUUUGUUUGACAGUCUAAUGUAGGAUAAAAAAAGAAAACUUUUAACAAUGGAUCUCUUGGCUCUU
Molecule: unclassified non-coding RNA, 268 nt
Filed under: air metagenome
Description: partial contains small subunit ribosomal RNA, internal transcribed spacer 1, and 5.8S ribosomal RNA
Rfam family: Eukaryotic small subunit ribosomal RNA (bases 1-46)
Source: RNAcentral